CCUACGGGAGGCUGCAGUGGGGAAUAUUGCGCAAUGGGGGCAACCCUGACGCAGCAACGCCGCGUGAUUGAAGAAGGCCUUCGGGUUGUAAAGAUCUUUAAUCGGGGACGAAUUUUGACGGUACCCGACGAAUACGCUCCGGCUAACUACGUGCCAGCCGCCGCGGUACUACGUAGGGAUCAAGCGUUAUCCGGAUGUACUGGGUGUACAGGGCGUGUAGGCGGGCAUGCAAGCCAGAAGUGAAAUCUGGGGGCUUAACCCCCAAACUGCUUUUGGUACUGCGUGGCUGGAGUGAUGGAGAGGCAGGCGGAAUGCCCAGUGUAGCGGUGAAAUGCGUAGAUAUUGGGAGGAACACCAGUGGCGAAGGCGGCCUGCUGGACAUUAACUGACGCUGAGGCGCGAAAGCGUGGGGAGCAAACAGGAUUAGAUACCCUUGUAGUC
This 441-nucleotide ribosomal RNA is filed under the name uncultured bacterium. RNAcentral describes it as "partial 16S ribosomal RNA". It matches the Rfam family "Bacterial small subunit ribosomal RNA", at positions 338 to 795 of the family's 1533-position model. The record is from RNAcentral.